Molecule: long non-coding RNA, 511 nt
Organism: Drosophila sulfurigaster albostrigata
Lineage: Eukaryota; Metazoa; Arthropoda; Insecta; Diptera; Drosophilidae
Exons: 2
Source: RefSeq, a predicted model, not a curated record
AGCGAUAUCAAUCUAUACAUGAACUGCAUCUGUUUCUCAGUGCUCACUGACCCCGAAAAGUUCCACUGCCACAGUUGCCACAGAGCGAGUGAAGUAUCAAGUCAUGAACUCAUGCAAUCAAGCAGCUAAAUUCUAGCUAUUCAAAGAAGCGGACUCACAAGUUCAACUGAAGAGGUGAAUAGAACUCUGCAAAACAUGACACAGCUGGCUAUAAUAAUAUUUUCUUUAAUUAGAAUAAUGUAAAUUAUAAUUUGGGACUUUAAAAUAAUGAGAAAUUCGUUCCACUUUUCGGUCACAAGUUCAUAGUUCAACUGAAAGGAUGACAAAUUUGUAUAGAUAUCGCAAAAACAAGAUGCAUAUUUAUACCCGCUACCCAUAGGGCAGAAGGAUAUCCUAACUUUGUGCCGGCAGGAAAUGUAUGUAGCAGGUAGAAGGAGGCAUCUCCGACCCUAUAAAGUAUAUAUAUUCUUCAUCAGCAUCAACAGCCGAGACGAUCUAGCCAUGUCCGUCU